GGGCGGUGGAACACAGCAAAAUGCAAAUUUGAAGAAGCACCAUAAAAGGUGCCCCGGCU
This 59-nucleotide transfer RNA is filed under the name Lygodactylus capensis (Cape dwarf gecko). Its description in RNAcentral is "tRNA-Cys". Lineage: Eukaryota; Metazoa; Chordata; Lepidosauria; Squamata; Gekkonidae. RNAcentral also lists the same sequence under 1 other name. The record is from RNAcentral.